RNAcentral lists this long non-coding RNA (217 nucleotides) under Gossypium barbadense (sea-island cotton). RNAcentral's name for it is "long non-coding RNA (GBAR_LNC008590)". The record is from RNAcentral. Lineage: Eukaryota; Viridiplantae; Streptophyta; Magnoliopsida; Malvales; Malvaceae.
UAGAUUAGUUUAAAAAUUUUGCCUUGUUUUUUAGGUUGGAAUCUACCCUAAAAAUAGGCUUAAAAUUUUGCUUUAUUAUCGUCCUAAUAAAAGUGCUAAACUCUAGUCAAGCUUAACCUCUCUUUAUAAAUAUUUUUAGAUUAUUUUUAUAUUUAAAAAUAAAUUUAAAAAUUAUAAUACAUCAAAUAGAUUUAAAAUAUUAAAAUAAAUAUUUUUU